Molecule: ribosomal RNA, 250 nt
Filed under: uncultured bacterium
Lineage: Bacteria
Description: partial 16S ribosomal RNA
Rfam family: Bacterial small subunit ribosomal RNA
Source: RNAcentral
GACGGGGGGGCAAGUGUUCUUCGGAAUGACUGGGCGUAAAGGGCACGUAGGCGGUGAAUCGGGCUGAAAGUGAAAGUCGCCAAAAAGUGGCGGAAUGCUCUCGAAACCAAUUCAUUUGAGUGAGACUGAGGAGAGUGGAAUUUCGUGUGUAGGGGUGAAAUCCGUAGAUCUACGAAGGAACGCCAAAAGCGAAGGCAGCUCUCUGGGUCCCUACCGACGCUGGGGUGCGAAAGCAUGGGGAGCGAACAGG